UCCGGUUUGUCACCGGCAGUCUCCCUAGAGUUCCCGACCGAAUCGCUGGCAAAUAGGGACAAGGGUUGCGCUCGUUACGGGACUUAACCCAACAUUUCACAACACGAGCUGACGACAGCCAUGCAGCACCUGUGACGGCCCGGCCGAACCGAUGGCCCCCCUCGCGGGAGGCCGCAACCGCCAUGUCAAGGGCUGGUAAGGUUCUGCGCGUUGCGUCGAAUUAAACCACAUGCUCCACCGCUUGUGCGGGCCCCCGUCAAUUCCUUUGAGUUUUAACCUUGCGGCCGUACUCCCCAGGCGGUGGGCUUAACGCGUUAGCUGCGACACCGAGGGGCAUGCCCCCCGACGUCUAGCCCACAUCGUUUAGGGCGUGGACUAC
RNAcentral lists this unclassified non-coding RNA (379 nucleotides) under uncultured Pseudomonadota bacterium. RNAcentral describes it as "uncultured proteobacterium contains 16S-23S intergenic spacer region". Lineage: Bacteria; Pseudomonadati; Pseudomonadota. The record is from RNAcentral.